GGAUGCGAUCAUACCAGCACUAAAGCACCGGAUCCCAUCAGAACUCCGAAGUUAAGCGUGCUUGGGCGAGAGUAGUACUAGGAUAGGUGACCUCCUGGGAAGUCCUCGUGUUGCAUUCCC
This 120-nucleotide ribosomal RNA is filed under the name Thinopyrum elongatum. Lineage: Eukaryota; Viridiplantae; Streptophyta; Magnoliopsida; Poales; Poaceae. The record is from RNAcentral. RNAcentral also lists the same sequence under 3 other names.